Molecule: transfer RNA, 65 nt
Filed under: uncultured Dermatophilus sp.
Lineage: Bacteria; Bacillati; Actinomycetota; Actinomycetes; Micrococcales; Dermatophilaceae
Rfam family: tRNA
About the family: Transfer RNA (tRNA) molecules are approximately 80 nucleotides in length.
Source: RNAcentral
CGUAGCUCAGCUGGAUAGAGCAAGAGACUUCUAAUCUCUCGGUCGCAGGUUCGAAUCCUGCCGGG